RNAcentral lists this long non-coding RNA (271 nucleotides) under Gallus gallus (chicken). Lineage: Eukaryota; Metazoa; Chordata; Aves; Galliformes; Phasianidae. The record is from RNAcentral.
AGUGCAAUGUGUGACACAACAGUGCUGAGUGUGACACAACAGUGCUGUGUGUGACACAACAGUGCUGAGUGUGACACAACAGUGCUGUGUGUGACACAACAGUGCAAUGUGUGACACAACAGUGCAAUGUGUGACACAACAGUGCUGAGUGUGACACAACAGUGCAAUGUGUGACACAACAGUGCUGAGUGUGACACAACAGUGCAAUGUGUGACACAACAGUGCUGAGUGUGACACAACAGUGCUGAGUGUGACACAACAGUGCUGAGUG